Molecule: ribosomal RNA, 253 nt
Filed under: uncultured bacterium
Lineage: Bacteria
Description: partial 16S ribosomal RNA
Rfam family: Bacterial small subunit ribosomal RNA
Source: RNAcentral
GACGGAGGGUGCUAGCGUUGUUCGGAUUUACUGGGCGUAAAGGGCGCGUAGGCGGCCUUGUAAGUCGGAUGUGAAAGCCCGGGGCUCAACCCCGGAACGGCAUUCGAGACUGCCAGGCUGGAGAUCGGAAGAGGAGAGUGGAAUACCCAGUGUAGAGGUGAAAUUCGUAGAUAUUGGGUGGAACACCGGUGGCGAAAGCGGCUCUCUGGUCCGUAUCUGACGCUGAGGCGCGAAAGCGUGGGGAGCAAACAGG